RNAcentral lists this long non-coding RNA (557 nucleotides) under Physcomitrium patens. RNAcentral describes it as "long non-coding RNA (PPAT_LNC008515)". Lineage: Eukaryota; Viridiplantae; Streptophyta; Bryopsida; Funariales; Funariaceae. The record is from RNAcentral.
UGUAAGGAUGCAGUGGUUGGUGAGCUGCCUUCUGUCCAAAUUCGGUAACUUUUUAGCCGGUUAACUUCAUCGAGUGUGGCGCACUUUCGCACCUAGACUUGAAAUCGGCGACUUAAGGCCGGUAGUAGUUUUCAGCAAUGAACUUGUUCUGCAAGGUUCGACUUUCAGAUCAAUAAUCUUUUUAGCUUUUUUCACAUUCUUUAAUAAACUUAUAGAAGUGUGUGGAAAGUGAACGAAGUUCAUAUGAUGUAGCGAUUCAAUACAUCAGAGUUUUGCAAGUAUUUCUACACUGCGAUUGUCAAGCAAGAGUAGUUUCCUAUUGAGCAGGUGUUACUUAGUCUCAGCGAGUUUAGCAUACAUGAGAGUUUGGUCGAUGACCCUUAGGUGGAAAAAGUUGAAAAAGUUCAAAAUUUUCGCUGGACACAUAGUAGGCGGCCAUAUGAAAGGAGGCUUACCCUCACACAAGACUUUCCUCCUAUCCUUUUUCCUUAAUGUUUCUGUAAUAGAAUGGAUAGUGGUCUGAGCAUGGAGAUCAGUACCAUUUACCAUUACUUAUU